GCUGGGAUGGUGGAAUUGGCAGACACGCUAGGUUGAGGGCCUAGUGGGAGUUAAAUCCCGUGGGAGUUCGAAUCUCCCUCCCAGCACCA
Molecule: transfer RNA, 89 nt
Filed under: Candidatus Omnitrophota bacterium
Lineage: Bacteria; Pseudomonadati; Candidatus Omnitrophota
Description: tRNA-Leu
Rfam family: tRNA
About the family: Transfer RNA (tRNA) molecules are approximately 80 nucleotides in length. Their secondary structure includes four short double-helical elements and three loops (D, anti-codon, and T loops). Further hydrogen bonds mediate the characteristic L-shaped molecular structure. tRNAs have two regions of fundamental functional importance: the anti-codon, which is responsible for specific mRNA codon recognition, and the 3' end, to which the tRNAs corresponding amino acid is attached (by aminoacyl-tRNA synthetases). tRNAs cope with the degeneracy of the genetic code in two manners: having more than one tRNA (with a specific anti-codon) for a particular amino acid; and 'wobble' base-pairing, i.e. permitting non-standard base-pairing at the 3rd anti-codon position.
Source: RNAcentral